Molecule: ribosomal RNA, 895 nt
Filed under: Leucobacter chromiireducens
Lineage: Bacteria; Bacillati; Actinomycetota; Actinomycetes; Micrococcales; Microbacteriaceae
Description: bacterial SSU rRNA
Rfam family: Bacterial small subunit ribosomal RNA
Source: RNAcentral
UGGUACCCGUAAUGCUGGGUGGAAGAGUGGCGAACGGGUGAGUAACACRUGAGCAACCUGCCCUUCACUCUGGGAUAAGCACUGGAAACGGUGUCUAAUACUGGAUAUGCACAAUGGCCGCAUGGUCUGUUGUGGGAAAGAUUUAUCGGUGAAGGAUGGGCUCGCGGCCUAUCAGCUUGUUGGUGAGGUAGUGGCUCACCAAGGCGACGACGGGUAGCCGGCCUGAGAGGGUGACCGGCCACACUGGGACUGAGACACGGCCCAGACUCCUACGGGAGGCAGCAGUGGGGAAUAUUGCACAAUGGGCGCAAGCCUGAUGCAGCAACGCCGCGUGAGGGAUGACGGCCUUCGGGUUGUAAACCUCUUUUAGUAGGGAAGAAGCGAAAGUGACGGUACCUGCAKAAAAAGCACCGGCUAACUACGUGCCAGCARCCGCGGUAAUACGUAGGGUGCAAGCGUUGUCCGGAAUUAUUGGGCGUAAAGAGCUCGUAGGCGGCUUGUCGCGUCUGCUGUGAAAACCCGAGGCUCAACCUCGGGCCUGCAGUGGGUACGGGCAGGCUAGAGUGCGGUAGGGGAGAUUGGAAUUCCUGGUGUAGCGRUGRAAUGCGCAGAUAUCAGGAGGAACACCGAUGGCGAAGGCAGAUCUCUGGGCCGUAACUGACGCUGAGGAGCGAAAGCAUGGGGAGCGAACAGGAUUAGAUACCCUGGUAGUCCAUGCCGUAAACGUUGGGAACUAGAUGUACGGCCUGUUCCACRGGUUCUGUGUCGUACCUAACGUAUUAAGUUCUCCGCCUGGGGAGUACGGCCGCAAGGCUAAAACUCAAGGAAUUGACGGGGGCCCGCACAAUCGGGGGAUAAUGCGGAUUAAUUCGAUGCACGCGAAGAACCUUUCCAA